GAUGAACGCUGGCGGCGUGCCUAAUACAUGCAAGUCGAGCGAACAGACGAGGAGCUUGCUCCUCUGACGUUAGCGGCGGACGGGUGAGUAACACGUGGAUAACCUACCUAUAAGACUGGGAUAACUUCGGGAAACCGGAGCUAAUACCGGAUAAUAUAUUGAACCGCAUGGUUCAAUAGUGAAAGACGGUUUUGCUGUCACUUAUAGAUGGAUCCGCGCCGCAUUAGCUAGUUGGUAAGGUAACGGCUUACCAAGGCAACGAUGCGUAGCCGACCUGAGAGGGGGAUGGCCACCCUAGAACUUGAACACCGACCAGGACCCUAAGGGAGGGCAGAGGUGGGGAAUUUUCCGAAAUGGGGGAAAGCCUGCCGAGGCAGCGCCGGGGGGGUGAAGAAGGUCUUCGUAUGGUAAAACUCUUUUAUUGGGGAAAAAAAAUUGUGUAAGUAACUAUGCACGUUUUAAGGGAACUUAUACAGAAACCCCGGCUAACUUCGGG
Molecule: ribosomal RNA, 496 nt
Filed under: uncultured bacterium
Lineage: Bacteria
Description: partial 16S ribosomal RNA
Rfam family: Bacterial small subunit ribosomal RNA
Source: RNAcentral